This 29-nucleotide non-coding RNA is filed under the name Mus musculus (house mouse). The record is from RNAcentral. Lineage: Eukaryota; Metazoa; Chordata; Mammalia; Rodentia; Muridae.
UGUGUUAACAGGAAAGAAGGCUUUGGGCU